GCGAGCGGCGGACGGGUGAGUAAUGCCUGGGGAUCUGCCCAGUCGAGGGGGAUAACAGUUGGAAACGACUGCUAAUACCGCAUACGCCCUACGGGGGAAAGGAGGGGACCUUCGGGCCUUUCGCGAUUGGAUGAACCCAGGUGGGAUUAGCUAGUUGGUGGGGUAAUGGCUCACCAAGGCGACGAUCCCUAGCUGGUCUGAGAGGAUGAUCAGCCACACUGGAACUUGAGACACGGUCCAGACUCCUACGGGAGGCAGCAGUGGGGAAUAUUGCACAAUGGGGGAAACCCUGAUGCAGCCAUGCCGCGUGUGUGAAGAAGGCCUUCGGGUUGUAAAGCACUUUCAGCGAGGAGGAAAGGUUGGCAGCUAAUAUCUGUCAGCUGUGACGUUACUCGCAGAAGAAGCACCGGCUAACUCCGUGCCAGCAGCCGCGGUAAUACGGAGGGUGCAAGCGUUAAUCGGAAUUACUGGGCGUAAAGCGCACGCAGGCGGUUGGAUAAGUUAGAUGUGAAAGCCCCGGGCUCAACCUGGGAAUUGCAUUUAAAACUGUUCAGCUAGAGUCUUGUAGAGGGGGGUAGAAUUCCAGGUGUAGCCGGUGAAAUGCGUAAGAGAUCUUGGAGGAAUACCCGGUGGCGAAGGCCGGCCCCCUUGGACAAAGACUGACGCUAG
RNAcentral lists this ribosomal RNA (669 nucleotides) under Aeromonas sp. CM3. RNAcentral's name for it is "bacterial SSU rRNA". It matches the Rfam family "Bacterial small subunit ribosomal RNA", at positions 91 to 749 of the family's 1533-position model. The record is from RNAcentral. Lineage: Bacteria; Pseudomonadati; Pseudomonadota; Gammaproteobacteria; Aeromonadales; Aeromonadaceae.